Molecule: ribosomal RNA, 1815 nt
Filed under: Campylobacter sputorum subsp. sputorum
Lineage: Bacteria; Pseudomonadati; Campylobacterota; Epsilonproteobacteria; Campylobacterales; Campylobacteraceae
Description: bacterial SSU rRNA
Rfam family: Bacterial small subunit ribosomal RNA
Source: RNAcentral
CUUUAGGUGGGUCAAGGGAGUGUUUACACUCCCUGUCGCAAAGAUUAGCUUUGCUAAUCUGCGAAGUAAAUAUGGAGAGUUUGAUCCUGGCUCAGAGUGAACGCUGGCGGCGUGCCUAAUACAUGCAAGUCGAACGAUGAAGUCCUAGCUUGCUAGGAUGGAUUAGUGGCGCACGGGUGAGUAAUGUAUAGCUAAUCUGCCCCAUAGAGAGGAACAACACUUAGAAAUGAGUGCUAAUACCUCAUACUCCAAUUAUACAUAAGUUUAAUUGGGAAAUGUAGCUCUUAAUAAUAUAUAUCAAAGAUAAUUUAUAAAUAAAAAGUUAUAAAUAUAACAAUAAGCUUUUUUGAAGCUUUAUAUUAAUAAAGCGAAAAAAAAGCAAAGCAGUUAGAUUUAAUAAAUUUUUAUAGCAUUUAAAAAUACAAAAGACUUAAUUUUUAAAUCUAAAUAUAAAUUAUUACUAAUAUUUUUAAUAGUCAUUUAGAAAUAUCUUAAUAUAUAUUAUUAAGAGCUUUCGCUAUGGGAUGAGGCUAUAUUGUAUCAGCUAGUUGGUAAGGUAAUGGCUUACCAAGGCUAUGACGCAUAACUGGUCUGAGAGGAUGAUCAGUCACACUGGAACUGAGACACGGUCCAGACUCCUACGGGAGGCAGCAGUAGGGAAUAUUGCUCAAUGGGGGAAACCCUGAAGCAGCAACGCCGCGUGGAGGAUGACACUUUUCGGAGCGUAAACUCCUUUUCUUUGGGAAGAAUAAUGACGGUACCAAAGGAAUAAGCACCGGCUAACUCCGUGCCAGCAGCCGCGGUAAUACGGAGGGUGCAAGCGUUACUCGGAAUCACUGGGCGUAAAGGACGCGUAGGUGGAUAGAUAAGUCUCUUGUGAAAUCUAGUAGCUUAACUACUAAACUGCUUGGGAAACUAUCUAUCUAGAGUAAGGGAGAGGCAGAUGGAAUUCUUGGUGUAGGGGUAAAAUCCGUAGAUAUCAAGAGGAAUACUUAUUGCGAAGGCGAUCUGCUAGAACUUAACUGACACUAAUGCGUGAAAGCGUGGGGAGCAAACAGGAUUAGAUACCCUGGUAGUCCACGCCCUAAACGAUGUAUACUGGUUGUUGCUGUGCUAGUCAUGGCAGUAAUCCACCUAACGGAUUAAGUAUACCGCCUGGGGAGUACGGUCGCAAGAUUAAAACUCAAAGGAAUAGACGGGGACCCGCACAAGCGGUGGAGCAUGUGGUUUAAUUCGAAGAUACGCGAAGAACCUUACCCGGACUUGAUAUCUAACAAAUCAUCUAGAGAUAGAAGAGUGUCUGCUUGCAGAAAUGUUAAGACAGGUGCUGCACGGCUGUCGUCAGCUCGUGUCGUGAGAUGUUGGGUUAAGUCCCGCAACGAGCGCAACCCACGUGUUUAGUUGCUAACAGUUAGGCUGAGCACUCUAAACAGACUGCCUUCGUAAGGAGGAGGAAGGUGUGGACGACGUCAAGUCAUCAUGGCCCUUAUGUCCGGGGCGACACACGUGCUACAAUGGCAUAUACAAUAAGACGCAAUAUCGCGAGAUGGAGCAAAUCUAUAAAAUAUGUCCCAGUUCGGAUUGGAGUCUGCAACUCGACUCCAUGAAGCCGGAAUCGCUAGUAAUCGUAGAUCAGCCAUGCUACGGUGAAUACGUUCCCGGGUCUUGUACUCACCGCCCGUCACACCAUGGGAGUUGAUUUCACUCGAAGCCCAAAUACCAAAUUGGUUAUGGUCCACAGUGGAAUCAGCGACUGGGGUGAAGUCGUAACAAGGUAACCGUAGGAGAACCUGCGGUUGGAUCACCUCCUUUCUA